GACGAACGCUGGCGGCGUGCCUAAUACAUGCAAGUCGAACGCAUUUUCUUUCACCGUAGCUUGCUACACCGAAAGAAAAUGAGUGGCGAACGGGUGAGUAACACGUGGGUAACCUGCCCAUCAGCGGGGGAUAACACUUGGAAACAGGUGCUAAUACCGCAUAAUUCCAUUUACCGCAUGGUAAAUGGAUGAAAGGCGCUUUUGCGUCACUGAUGGAUGGACCCGCGGUGCAUUAGCUAGUUGGUGGGGUAACGGCCUACCAAGGCGGCGAUGCAUAGCCGACCUGAGAGGGUGAUCGGCCACACUGAGACUGAGACACGGCCCAGACUCCUACGGGAGGCAGCAGUAGGGAAUCUUCGGCAAUGGACGCAAGUCUGACCGAGCAACGCCGCGUGAGUGAAGAAGGUUUUCGGAUCGUAAAACUCUGUUGUUAGAGAAGAACAAGGAUGAGAGUGGAAAGUUCAUCCCUUGACGGUAUCUAACCAGAAAGCCACGGCUAACUACGUG
This 507-nucleotide ribosomal RNA is filed under the name uncultured bacterium. RNAcentral describes it as "partial 16S ribosomal RNA". It matches the Rfam family "Bacterial small subunit ribosomal RNA", at positions 28 to 507 of the family's 1533-position model. The record is from RNAcentral.